UGCAUUUCUUGAAAAACAAUACGUAUAUGCGAAUCGCCUUUUACUAUUCUAGCAUCCGUGUUUAUCAAGAACUAAAAUGCUUUCACCAUUUUUGUGAGGGUAUUCGUACCCUU
Molecule: small nuclear RNA, 113 nt
Filed under: Heterostelium album PN500
Lineage: Eukaryota; Evosea; Eumycetozoa; Acytosteliales; Acytosteliaceae
Description: Polysphondylium pallidum PN500 U5 spliceosomal RNA
Rfam family: U5 spliceosomal RNA
About the family: U5 RNA is a component of both types of known spliceosome. The precise function of this molecule is unknown, though it is known that the 5' loop is required for splice site selection and p220 binding, and that both the 3' stem-loop and the Sm site are important for Sm protein binding and cap methylation.
Source: Rfam by way of RNAcentral